Pectinophora gossypiella (pink bollworm) is the source of this 3358-nucleotide long non-coding RNA. RefSeq lists it as uncharacterized. The transcript is spliced from 3 exons. NCBI's taxonomy places the organism in Eukaryota, Metazoa, Arthropoda, Insecta, Lepidoptera, Gelechiidae. The record is from RefSeq and is a predicted model, not a curated record.
GUUAAAGGAAGGCAACAUUCUACAGUGCCAUCCAUUUUUUUUGGGAACAUGGAAAAGUUCUGGAAAGUUCUUCGUUAGUAGAUAUCUAUGCCUUUUAAACCAUCGAUAUAAAAGUAAGGCUGGGAUUAUAAAUAGCAAUAGAAUACUACGGUGUAAGAUUAUUUACGUUUUUAAUCUUUCAGGUAGCGAUUUUUCGAUCGUCCAAACAACAAAGGGGAAGACUGUAAUGGUGUUUCAGAAUUUUACGUUUUCUAACAGCUGGAACUCAAGAUGUUGGUAUUGUUCAAAGAGGAAGUCCUUAGGCUGCCCCGCUAGCGUUAUGCUGAACAACCAGAAUAAGAUUACAAGGUACAACAGGGAUCACAAUCAUUUGCCUGCAUAUAUUAACUUUGGCGAUUACGACAAAUACUUGUAAAAAUAAAAUUUUUGUUCAACUGCACUAAUUAUAGGAUAAGAAAAGAAGAAGCGAGUUUUAGAACCGGCAAAAUAACAUAACAUAACAAAAAUAGCCUAUAUACGUCCCACUGCUGGGCACAGGCCUCCCCUCAAUCAACCGGAAAGGGUAUGGAGCAUACUCCACCACGCUGCUCCACUGCGGGUUGGAGGAGGUAUUUUUACGGUUAAUAGCCGGGACCAAGGCUAUUAACCGUAAAAAUACCUCCUCCAACCGGCUUAACGUGCCCUCCGAAGCACGGAAUCAACUUAUUUUUUCAGACAAUCAGGUGAUUCAAGUCUGUAAAGUCCUUACCAAACAAAGGACAGUCUCACAAAGUGAUUUCGACAAUGUCCCCAUCGGGAAUCGAACCCCGACCUCCAGAUAGUGAGCCUAACGCUCUAACCACCGAACCGGCAAACUAAAUUAAAAUUACCUAGUUAAGUUCGCUCGAUGCUAUGGUAACAGCGCAGCAUCAAUAGAAUAUUAUGUCAUCGAAAUCCGUCCAUCGUGAAUUCCCGCUCCUAACUAAUAAGCUUUUGUCCCUGCCCACCCUAUUAGGGAUAACGAGUGUGAGUUUCAUCUCUCCAUACAAGUUCCAUAAAUAAAAUACAAUACUUAUAAAAAACUUAUAACAGUUUGUAUUAAAAAGACAGCGUUAUUUAGAAAACUGCUGAAAUCCUCUUACUUACUUUCUAAAUGCGUCUAAAAUAUUGUGAAAAAAGCGAGUCGUUUGACGUUUGCGUUUUACUUCUUGAUACACAGCUGACUUGGUAGUGUUUUCAGUAUUUAUUUUUAAUAUAAUUUGAAGCUAUUUAUUUACUCGUUGUUAAAGGAGUAAUAAUAACUCUUAAAGUUAGUUAUAAAAUGUUUUGUGACCUAAGUACAAUCUUAAAUACAAGUUCAUAACAUAACCUCAAACAAUGAAUUUCUAAAAUGUUAGAAGUUAUUGUUGAUUUUGUGAAAGUGUUUAAAGUACCAAGACUGUACCUACCGUGGAUAAUGUUAUGCAGAUUAAAAAUACCAAGUUUAUAACAGUAUUUGUGUCCAAUAUGCGGCGAUGUGACAAACGGAUUUCACUACGGUAUACACACAUGCGAAUCGUGCAAGCAUUUCUUCAAACGGACCAUUGCACUCGGAAAGUCUAAUACAUAUAGCUGUACCUACUCUAUGAAAUGUGACAUCAACCCUAAAACUAGGUACAAAUGUAAAUAUUGUAGAUUUAAUAAGUGCCUUAGAGCUGGGAUGAAUACAAAUUUGGUACGACAAAGAAAGGAAAUAGGGGGUCGAUCGCAAUUUUACACGCGUGGUAUUUUAAAAUGGGAGGAUAUUUAGUUUCUACAGUACUGUGAUGUGUAGCCGUUAUAUGGUUUAUGGUUGUAUUAUUUGAAUCUGUAUUUUUAAUUAUUUUCCCCAUUCCCGAGAAAUGUUUUUCGGAGGUAUGUGACCUGAUUUAUAUUGGGCUGGUUUUCCCUUCGCGGGUUGAAAGGUCAGACAGUCGUGUAAAAAUCCGGACCUGUCAAAUCUUCGGGUAAGUGGACCCCGUGAAAAAGGCGUAUAAACCGCGCUGUUUUGGCACCAUCUAAAGCUUCAUACACACCAAGCUUUAGAUAAAUAAGACAUACCUACUUAUUGAAGUUAUAAAGAAAAAUAAUAUGAGAAUAAUAUAAACUUUUAAACUUACUUAAAGGAACGUCCAGUUCUUGGGUAGCGACUGUUCUCGUGAACUUCAUUCGCGGACGGACAAUAUGCUGAAGGCUCCUUUCUCAAGGAUGUCCGGUUUGCGGUGACGUCGUAUCUGGUAUACAUUACGGGACAAGGACUUGUGAAUCUUGCAAAUUAUUCUUCAAGAGAACCCUUCAGAUGAAUAAACAAGAUACUUACAUUUGUAAUGGUGUUAGGGGUGUGUGUAGUAUCACCGUGGAAUCCCGGGCUUGGUGCAAAGCUUGUAGGUUCAAAAAGUGUAUUGCUGCUGGCAUGCAGCCCUUGAUGGUGAGGAAAAAGCAAGGGAGACCGACGAAGUUUGGUCUUUGGUAAAGUUCGUUUUUAGUGAAAUAAAACAUAAGACAUAUAUAUAUUCAGAGGCAGAGGACAGGAGUCCUAGUAUGGCUUUGAAGUAAGCUACUCCGGGCGCCAUCCCACUCGCGUCCGACAAAGUACUGUCGAAGACAAGAAGCCAGCACUGCCCUAUUUUUCCCUAAAAUAGUAGCAUGGAGAAUGCUACACCGACAAGAGCGUGUCUCUUAAAUUAAUGAUGAUGAUGAUGAAAACAUAAGCGCACGACUAUAUCCGAAUGGGAUAGUCAGAGGUACAUCCAUCAUAAGAUGAACUAAGUACCCACACUUCACCGAGCUUUCUGUUAGACCAACGUGAGUGGUGAGCCGCAUCGCUGACUAUAACAGUCGCGCCAACUGUGUUAGUGAAAACUGCACUUAAGAUAAUUUAUUGGUGCAAGUCCAUUAUUGGUGCAAUAAAGUAUAUAAAAAUCUCAAUACACCCACAUUUGGUAUUGAAGUCUUAUGAUAGUUAUGUACAUCAGCUGGUAGAUCAUCAACCUCUCGUCUAUAAAGUAUCCAUGAUAUUGUUUUGAACUAUCGCGAUUUACACACAUAAUUAACAUAAGAUCUAUAGUAUCUAAUCGUGAACAAUAUAUACAAACAGUAUAUGAAAAUCAUUUAAUUAUAAUAAUGUCAUUAUAUUUUAAAACUAGCGUACGUACUUAUACUUUUGCACUAACAUAAAUUGAAUUAAAGCAAUUCUAAAUUCAUUUACAGAGUAAUUUUUGGAGUCCGUUACUGAAUUUCGAAUCAAUACAAGUACGCUAGUUCGAAAAUAAACAGCACUGAGUUGUCGAACUAGCGUACGGUCACGCACGAGCAUUAAUAUGUAUAUACUUUGGUACCAUGUCACAUUAACUUUUUUGAC